This 347-nucleotide ribosomal RNA is filed under the name Bacillus cereus. RNAcentral describes it as "bacterial SSU rRNA". It matches the Rfam family "Bacterial small subunit ribosomal RNA", at positions 1158 to 1506 of the family's 1533-position model. Lineage: Bacteria; Bacillati; Bacillota; Bacilli; Caryophanales; Bacillaceae. The record is from RNAcentral.
UUUUAAUGGGGGAAGGGGGGGAAGACGUCAAAUCAUCAUGCCCCUUAUGACCUGGGCUACACACGUGCUACAAUGGACGGUACAAAGAGCUGCAAGGCCGCGAGGUGGAGCUAAUUUUAUAAAACCGUUUUCAGUUUGGAUUGUAGGGUGCAACUUGCCUACAUGAAGCUGGAAUCGGUAGUAAUCGCGGAUCAGCAUGCCGCGGUGAAUACGUUCCCGGGCCUUGUACACACCGCCCGUCACACCCCGAGAGUUUGUAACACCCGAAGUCGGUGGGGUAACCUUUUUGGAGCCAGCCGCCUAAGGUGGGACAGAUGAUGGGUGAAGUCGAACAUGGAAACGCAGGG